UACGAAGGGAGCUAGCGUUGUUCGGAAUUACUGGGCGUAAAGGGCGCGUAGGCGGACAUUUAAGUCAGGGGUGAAAUGCCAAGGCUCAACCUUGGAACUGCCUUUGAUACUGAAUGUCUCGAGUUCGGGAGAGGUGAGUGGAAUUCCGAGUGUAGAGGUGAAAUUCGUAGAUAUUCGGAGGAACACCAGAAGCGAAGGCGGCUCACUGGCCCGAUACUGACGCUGAGGCGCGAAAGCGUGGGGAGCAAACAGG
Molecule: ribosomal RNA, 253 nt
Filed under: uncultured bacterium
Lineage: Bacteria
Description: partial 16S ribosomal RNA
Rfam family: Bacterial small subunit ribosomal RNA
Source: RNAcentral